AGUACGCUAAGUCAUUAUUAUUAAAAAUCACAAUUAUUUCAACGAAUCUAAAUAGAACUAUAUUUCAAACAAAUAAAAAUCAAAUGGAAAUACUUAACAUCCCAAACUAAAUCACUCAACCAGCCUUAAAUAACCUAACAUGUUGAUCCAAUUAAGCAUAAUGCUAGAAUUUACUAAUUUUAUCUAAAACUAUUCUAGCAUUAUGCUUAUUCCAUUAUUGCCGUCCACCACCGGCAUCGCUUGAAGGGCACUACUAGUGCUCUUUUUCUCCCAUGGUUCACAUCCCUUCCUUUUCUCCCAUGGCAGGCAGAGACGUGAAGAGCUGAAGAUUGCCGAAAGAAGCAGCAACCAGAACUAAAAUAGCAGCAAGGCAGUAGGCAAAGAUGUGAAGAUUUUAUUAGGGAAGAUAGAAUUUUUAAUAGCAAGGCAGAGAGGUGAAGAUUGCCAGAAAAAAAAAUAGCAGUAAGGGAGCAAGCAGAGACGUGAAG
This 488-nucleotide long non-coding RNA is filed under the name Gossypium barbadense (sea-island cotton). RNAcentral's name for it is "long non-coding RNA (GBAR_LNC005135)". The record is from RNAcentral. Lineage: Eukaryota; Viridiplantae; Streptophyta; Magnoliopsida; Malvales; Malvaceae.